RNAcentral lists this long non-coding RNA (1915 nucleotides) under Portunus trituberculatus (swimming crab). Its description in RNAcentral is "uncharacterized LOC123509551, transcript variant X1". The record is from RNAcentral. Lineage: Eukaryota; Metazoa; Arthropoda; Malacostraca; Decapoda; Portunidae.
CUCACCCAUGUCCAACCUUGAAAAGAAGCAACGCUGGAGAGCAGUGGUGCUACAUUUUGUGACUCCAGAUCCAGCGCCUUGGCCACAGCCGACAUGCUUGACUACAAAAUCCAGGUGUUGAAACCAGACCGGGCCAGUGUGCACACAGCUCACCCUGCUAACGUUCCUCAAUCCUGCUGGACGUGCUGCACCGGUGGCGUAGCGUCGAGGGAAGUGCCUCUGUAUCCCUGCCCAGCACUUCAAUGAACACAUGAAGGUGCUCCAGAGUUUCAAGAAGGGAGUGGCACACACACUUUGCUGCAGUCCAAUUGCAGGCUUUUGGAGGUCCAGCAGCACACUGCACACUACUUUCAUAAACGUGUGUGUGCAGAGUGCAAGACAGAGAGGGGCAAGGAUGGAGGAUGCUUCAACAUUCACAGCAUCAUUGGUUCAUUCUUUCUUUUUUGUGGAAAAUAGUGCACACAGUUUUAACCGAAUGAUUAUAUGUCAUCAUUCAUAGUCAUAGAUUUCAUGACUUAACAUUGUGUUGACCUUUGUGCAUCAGAUCACUUCAUUACAUGUAAAUGUAUAUUUAGUUACAAGGAGUAAUGGUUUAUGAAAAAUUUUAAGUAUAAAAAGUGAGUUAUAAGAGAUCUUGCAUUAUGAAGAUUUUUUUAAAGUUAGCAUGAUUUAGUUGUGUCAGUCUUGACAGUCCAGAUUGUACAGACAUGAACCAUUGUCCAUUGCACUUCCUGCAGAUGGAAUUUCAGUCAGUACUACAAGGUGUGUGUGUGUGUGCACAGCUUUGUGGGCAAGAAUGCCAGUCAUUCCUUGAUGUCAAUAUCUUUCAUUUAAGGAACAAAUGUGUGUAAUUAGGUUUAGAUACAUUUUUAAAUGAGAAUAUUUAGACAUUAGAUUGUAAGUGUCUUAACUUUCUAGAGCUUUGCUGUUACUGUUCUGUGGAAGAUUUCAGGGGCCGUAUUCUACAAAUUACAUAGCUAAUGACAUGAUCGUAGUGAGACAAAAUGGUGCAUUUUAGACACAAGUCGCUCCAUGUCAGGCUCUUACCUUGUGACUCGUCAUAGUGCCAAAACAGGGUUCACCCUGUAAUAGCGCCACCAACCACUGUCUUAAAACUUGGUGGGAACUUGGCUGUAUGUACCAUAGCAUGAUCCCUGAAUUUUUAUUGUUUAUUAAUGAUAAUACCCAUAAUGAUGACUAAAUAAUGUCCUUCUUUGAUCCAGUAAUUUAUCAUCAUAGAUAAUUGUUGAGAGGGGUAUGAUCAGUUUUCCCCAAACUCAAACAAACCUUGCCCCACAUGGCCUGCAUGUGUCAUGUGUCAGGCUGUUGGCCGUAAUCUUCUCCUGUUUGUCAUGUUUCUUUUGUUUGGAUGCCCAGUGUAACUAUUCCCAAAGUAGUAAUAUGAUGUCAAAUUAAUUUAAAUUGUAGGAUAUUGUUGAGAAGCUAUUUCUUUCUAUACUACAUAUAUAAAGUUGACAAAUAAUGAGCCUAAAGACCAACAGUAGAGUGAUGGUCAGGCAUUCAGUGAGACCUGAGGCUAACUGUGUAGAAUGUGGCCCCAGAAUGAUGGUCUGUGUAUUUUAUGAUUAUGGUGCCAAUGUAUUGACAACAUGCUGCCUGAGAGCAAUGCCAUUGUGAAAUGCUUAAAAAAUCAUUUUACUGAGUUGAUAGUCUCUCCUAGACUUUUGCAAUGAAAGUGGUCUCAAAAUACUUUUAGGACUUGUGGUUAUUAACAAGCCUUGUGCAAUGAAAAUGCUCUCAAAAUACUACUCUUACGUUCUUAUAUUCAUUAAUGUUUUAUAAGACAAAUGUAUGGAUAGCAAUGAUGAGGUAGACCUGUUCAUACAAGGACUGCUGCCAUGUAUGUGCAGGUCUCAUGGUCCCUCUUAUAACGUCGCUCUUUUUUUUUUUUUUU